This 163-nucleotide ribosomal RNA is filed under the name Berula erecta subsp. thunbergii. Its description in RNAcentral is "5.8S ribosomal RNA". It matches the Rfam family "5.8S ribosomal RNA". Rfam says of the family: 5.8S ribosomal RNA (5.8S rRNA) is a component of the large subunit of the eukaryotic ribosome. It is transcribed by RNA polymerase I as part of the 45S precursor that also contains 18S and 28S rRNA. The record is from RNAcentral. Lineage: Eukaryota; Viridiplantae; Streptophyta; Magnoliopsida; Apiales; Apiaceae.
AAACGACUCUCGGCAACGGAUAUCCCGGCUCUCGCAUCGAUGAAGAACGUAGCGAAAUGCGAUACUUGGUGUGAAUUGCAGAAUCCCGUGAACCAUCGAGUCUUUGAACGCAAGUUGCGCCUGAGGCCACUAGGGUAAGGGCACGUCUGCCUGGGUGUCACGC